This is a long non-coding RNA of Neopelma chrysocephalum (saffron-crested tyrant-manakin), 252 nucleotides long. RefSeq lists it as uncharacterized. The transcript is spliced from 3 exons. The record is from RefSeq and is a predicted model, not a curated record. Lineage: Eukaryota; Metazoa; Chordata; Aves; Passeriformes; Pipridae.
GUGACCUGCGCCAAACCCCGCAGCAGCCGCAACUCCAGCAUCGAGGCGUUCGUGGUGUGCCGGGGGUACGACCCCCCCGAGGGCUUCGUGCCCACCAUGGACAACCCCCUGCUCGACCCCGACGCGGGUCUGUCCCUGUCCCGUCUCUCGGGUCCCUCCCGGGUGAUCGUCCCCUUCGUGGCCUGCGGGGACCUGAGCGCCUUCGACCCCGACCGCACGUACCCACUGCAGGUACUGGGCAAACUGGGGGGA